UAGGGAAUCUUCCGCAAUGGGCGAAAGCCUGACGGAGCAACGCCGCGUGAGUGAUGAAGGUCUUCGGAUCGUAAAACUCUGUUAUUAGGGAAGAACAUAUGUGUAAGUAAAUAUGCACGUCUUGACGGUAACUAAUCAGAAAGCCACGGCUAACUACGUGCCAGCAGCCGUGGUAAUACGUAGGUGGCAAGCGUUAUCCGGAAUUAUUGGGCGUAAAGCGCGCGUAGGCGGUUUUUUAAGUCUGAUGUGUAAGCCCACGGCUCAUCCGUGGAGUGUCAUUGGAAACUGGAAAACUUGAGUGCGGAAGAGGAAAGGGGAAUUCCAUGUGUAGCGGUGAAAUGCGCAGAGAUAUGGAGGAACACUAGUGGCGAAGGCGACUUUCUGGUCUGUAACUGACGCUGAUGUGCGAAAGCGUGGGGAUCAAACAGG
RNAcentral lists this ribosomal RNA (429 nucleotides) under Actinomycetes bacterium. Its description in RNAcentral is "Actinobacteria bacterium partial 16S ribosomal RNA". It matches the Rfam family "Bacterial small subunit ribosomal RNA", at positions 355 to 776 of the family's 1533-position model. The record is from RNAcentral. Lineage: Bacteria; Bacillati; Actinomycetota; Actinomycetes.